This 464-nucleotide ribosomal RNA is filed under the name uncultured bacterium. RNAcentral's name for it is "partial 16S ribosomal RNA". It matches the Rfam family "Bacterial small subunit ribosomal RNA", at positions 28 to 507 of the family's 1533-position model. The record is from RNAcentral.
GACGAACGCUGGCGGCGUGCUUAACACAUGCAAGUCGAACGAUGAACCGGUUUCGGCCGGGGAUUAGUGGCGAACGGGUGAGUAACACGUGGGCAAUCUGCCCUGCCCUCUGGGAUAAGCCCGGGAAACUGGGUCUAAUACCGGAUACGACACUCCGAGGCAUCUUGGGGUGUGGAAAGUUCCGGCGGUGCAGGAUGAGCCCGCGGCCUAUCAGCUUGUUGGUGGGGUAAUGGCCUACCAAGGCGACGACGGGUAGCCGGCCUGAGAGGGUGACCGGCCACACUGGGACUGAGACACGGCCCAGACUCCUACGGGAGGCAGCAGUGGGGAAUAUUGCACAAUGGGCGAAAGCCUGAUGCAGCGACGCCGCGUGAGGGAUGACGGCCUUCGGGUUGUAAACCUCUUUCAGCAGGGAAGAAGCGAAAGUGACGGUACCUGCAGAAGAAGCACCGGCUAACUACGUG